UGAGGAAUAUUGGUCAAUGGACGAGAGUCUGAACCAGCCAAGUAGCGUGAAGGAUGACUGCCCUAUGGGUUGUAAACUUCUUUUAUACGGGAAUAAAGUGAGCACGUGUGCCUUUUUGUAUGUACCGUAUGAAUAAGGAUCGGCUAACUCCGUGCCAGCAGCCGCGGUAAUACGGAGGAUCCGAGCGUUAUCCGGAUUUAUUGGGUUUAAAGGGAGCGUAGGCGGGUGCUUAAGUCAGUUGUGAAAGUUUGCGGCUCAACCGUAAAAUUGCAGUUGAUACUGGGCGCCUUGAGUGCAGCAUAGGUAGGCGGAAUUCGUGGUGUAGCGGUGAAAUGCUUAGAUAUCACGAAGAACUCCUAUUGCGAAGGCAGCUUACUGGACUGUAACUGACGCUGAUGCUCGAAAGUGUGGGGUAUCAAACAGGAUUAGAUACC
RNAcentral lists this ribosomal RNA (434 nucleotides) under uncultured bacterium. RNAcentral describes it as "bacterial SSU rRNA". It matches the Rfam family "Bacterial small subunit ribosomal RNA", at positions 355 to 786 of the family's 1533-position model. The record is from RNAcentral.